GAGAGUUUGAUCAUGGCUCAGGACGAACGCUGGCGGCGUGCCUAAUACAUGCAAGUCGAGCGAGCGGAACUAACAGAUUUACUUCGGUAAUGACGUUAGGAAAGCGAGCGGCGGAUGGGUGAGUAACACGUGGGGAACCUGCCCCAUAGUCUGGGAUACCACUUGGAAACAGGUGCUAAUACCGGAUAAGAAAGCAGAUCGCAUGAUCAGCUUUUAAAAGGCGGCGUAAGCUGUCGCUAUGGGAUGGCCCCGCGGUGCAUUAGCUAGUUGGUAAGGUAAAGGCUUACCAAGGCGAUGAUGCAUAGCCGAGUUGAGAGACUGAUCGGCCACAUUGGGACUGAGACACGGCCCAAACUCCUACGGGAGGCAGCAGUAGGGAAUCUUCCACAAUGGACGCAAGUCUGAUGGAGCAACGCCGCGUGAGUGAAGAAGGUUUUCGGAUCGUAAAGCUCUGUUGUUGGUGAAGAAGGAUAGAGGUAGUAACUGGCCUUUAUUUGACGGUAAUCAACCAGAAAGUCACGGCUA
This 525-nucleotide ribosomal RNA is filed under the name uncultured bacterium. RNAcentral describes it as "bacterial SSU rRNA". It matches the Rfam family "Bacterial small subunit ribosomal RNA", at positions 7 to 499 of the family's 1533-position model. The record is from RNAcentral.